GACGAACGCUGGCGGCGUGCUUAACACAUGCAAGUCGAACGGUGAAGGGACCGGUUUUUGCUGGUUCUGGGUGAGUGGCGAACGGGUGGGUAACACGUGAGUAACCUGCCCCCUUCUUCUGGAUAACCGCAGGAAAGUGUGGCGAAUACGUGAUAUUCUGCGCCGGCUGCAUGGUGGGUGUGGGAAAGAUAUUGUUUCGGUGGGGGAGGGGCUCGCGGCUUAUGAGCUUGUUGGUGGGGUGGUGGCCUACCAAGGCGUUGACGGGUAGCCGGCCUGAGAGGGUGGACGGUCACACUGGGACUGAGACACGGCCCAGACUCCUACGGGAGGCAGCAGUGGGGAAUAUUGCACAAUGGGCGCAAGCCUGAUGCAGCGCCGCCGCGUGAGGGAUGGAGGCCUUCGGGUUGUAAACCUCUUUCGCCAGUGAAGCAGGCCUGUCCCUUUUGUGGGUGGGUUGACGGUAGCUGGAUAAGAAGCGCCGGCUAACUACGUG
This 493-nucleotide ribosomal RNA is filed under the name uncultured bacterium. RNAcentral describes it as "partial 16S ribosomal RNA". It matches the Rfam family "Bacterial small subunit ribosomal RNA", at positions 28 to 507 of the family's 1533-position model. The record is from RNAcentral.